UUUUAAUUGAAGGAUAGUAUGAAAGGUAAUACGAACAAAAUUAGGUUUUUAAUUUAUUUAUUAAAUUUAAUUUAUGAAUUAAAAAGUUCAUAUAUAGUUUAGGGACAAGAAGACCCUAUAAAGUUUAAUUUAAAUUUCUUUUUAUAUAAGUAUGCUAAAUUUUGUUGGGGUAAUAUUACAAGAAUAGAUUUUGUAAAUAACAGUUUUUUAUUAAAUAUUUAAACCCGUUAAUAACGAAUAUUAAAAUUAAUUACUUUAGGGAUAACAGCAUAAUUAAAAUUUUAAAGUUCAGAUUUACAAUUUUGGUUGUGACCUCGAUGUUG
RNAcentral lists this ribosomal RNA (323 nucleotides) under Cyphophthalmus sp. 10 JM-2009. RNAcentral's name for it is "partial 16S ribosomal RNA". Lineage: Eukaryota; Metazoa; Arthropoda; Arachnida; Opiliones; Sironidae. The record is from RNAcentral.